CACCUACGGGAGGCAGCAGUGGGGAAUAUUGCACAAUGGGGGGAACCCUGAUGCAGCGACGCCGCGUGAGUGAAGAAGUAUUUCGGUAUGUAAAGCUCUAUCAGCAGGGAAGAAGAUGACGGUACCUGACUAAGAAGCCCCGGCUAACUACGUGCCAGCAGCCGCGGUAAUACGUAGGGGGCAAGCGUUAUCCGGAUUUACUGGGUGUAAAGGGAGCGUAGACGGCAGGGCAAGUCUGGAGUGAAAGCCCGGGGCCCAACCC
Molecule: ribosomal RNA, 262 nt
Filed under: uncultured bacterium
Lineage: Bacteria
Description: partial 16S ribosomal RNA
Rfam family: Bacterial small subunit ribosomal RNA
Source: RNAcentral